ACCCUUGUUUAUUUCUCCUUGUCUUCUUGACACAGUCAUUCUAGUUCUUCUUGACGGUUAGUCUAAGAAAAUGUGGGAAAAUGUACAUCAAGAUAAUGUUGGAAGGUGUCUUAUACUGGUCAAGAGUCCCAGAUGACCGUCCCUUUACAGCAAAUAAUGACAUCCCGGUAUCCUUUUCGACUUUCGUGACUCAUUAUAUUUUCAUUCGCAGAUGUGUUCAGUGCAGGCAAUGCUGUAUGAAUAAAGCCUCUAAUUUUAGCCUCUCUCCUUCUCCCUGGUUGACCUGGAUAUUGGCUUCCAAGGAGCAGCCCAAGUGACUUAACUUGGUUGUCUACACAUCCCAAGUAUUUCAACCAAUUGUCAAAUUUCUGCUACCCGUUGCCCCAUAGCUGUGACUGCCUCACCACUGGGGCUUAAAUUCUGCCCAGGCACAAAGGGCUCAGUGAACUGAAGCCAGAAAAUAGCUCAGGGCAACGGAACAAAUGCCCACGUCUUGGCUCAAGGAGUUGACUUUUAUAGAAGUGAGUACAUUUGUAAGAGUUGUUAUGAUGAAUUGCUCUGACAGUCUUCCAGACAGGGAAAUAGCUGAAGUUUCUUUUCCCAAGGGCUCCUUAAAUCAAACAUUCAAAAUGACCUGGCUUCGACUGGCCCAGAGCAGGAGUCAUAAGAUUGAAAAAGUAAGUGAAUAAAGUUUUAAAGAGAUGGAGAAAACACUGCUCUCUGAAAAUACCCAAUUCAGACCAGUGAUUGAAUAGGAGCUGAGGAUAUGCAUAUUCUAGAAAACUCGUGCUGGUCUGGAAGCCAGCUCUGGGUUGAGCUGCAGUUAGAAGUCAAGCCAUUGCAGACUGCUCCGUCAGGCUUUGCUGUUUGUUAAUGACCUACUUCAAGUUCAGCAGACCGGCACCUCCUUUGACACUGAUUAUACUCCUAGAACUCCUCCAAGUUCACCGUCAGCGGAUCCUGGACAGGUCUGAGGUGGCUUCCAAAACGCGGGGUAAAAGAAGGAAAUUGACAGGUCAGGAUGUUGGGCAGAAACCCGGCAUUUCCAAACUACCUUGCUCUCCCGUUCCCCUCUCUGUUCAGUUCACCUCAAGAGGCUUAAGAAACGAGGAAGGAGGGCCGUCCUGGGGAAAUGACGCGGGAUCUGGGACUGCCCUGCUUCAGCCACGGGCCCACAGCAAACCAAACAGGCCUCGGGGUGCUAUUCAGCCCCUUUGUGACACCGUUUAACUGUUACAUACACAUACAGAAUGAAAAGCGUUUUGACAACGUGGGUGAAAAUAUCUACACAUGUCCUAAAUCAGCCCACGCCGGGUAGCCCUCCUACCCACCCUGCGCCGCCCGCCUCCUCCCGCCGCAAGGCUCAGUCCUCCAUAGCUGAACUUCUUCUCUGAAUUGGCUCCCAGCUGGGAGGGACAGACUGUUUUCAAACCAAGGCCACUUCCAGGAACUCAUCAGUCAAAGAACUGGUCCAGCGUUCUUUCACCAGGGACCAGCGGGCAGGAGGGAGGCAGUGGGAGGGCACUUUUCUGCCUCCUCUGAGUCCGGUGCUUGGUGGUCUCCUGGGUUCUUCAGCGGAACAACAAAAUGGCCGGAAAGCACUUAAAAAAAAUUUCUAUGACAACAUGGUAUGAAUGAGCGCACUUCCUAAGGAAAUGAAACUCCUAAAAGCCUCUGUGACUUGACUGGUGACCUCAAGAGAAGGUUUGUUUUGUUUUGUUUUGUUUCUCAGCUCACUGAUUAUAAACCCAGGUUCUAAACCUAUGACUUAUCUACCCAAUGAACCCGUUAUUUUUUUAACAUGUGAAAUUAUUUGUCACCCCUCCAAUUUAUUUAUUUUUUUAAUAUUCAUCUAACACGAACUUUCUCUCCCUGUGAAAGUCCCUCUUUGUCAUAUGUCCGUCAGUUCACCACUCCCUCCUUCACUCAUUCAACACGUUUUUAUUGCAGGUGGUAAAUCUAGUGAGGGCAGCGCCACGAUGAGCAGGAAUCCAUCUAUACCUUCGGCUGCUGCUUCAUAAAAGAUAAACAAUCUCUCUGGACCUUAAUGAAACAGGAAGAACAAAUCUGACUCCAUAUUAUGUCUGUUCCUUUGGCUCAAACCCUGGGCUGUGUUUCCUGGGCUUAGCCAUACUAGUUCUGCACCUUCUGUAAAAGAAUGCUGCCUAGAGCCUGAAAUGGCCAGGAGAGCCCACUCUCCAGGCUCUGAUCUGUGAGGGUGUAACACUUUCCCCAUUCACGUACAGAUAAAAAGUUGCAGAAUAAAAAAUAACAUUUGUUUUGUUGGAGGUUUACAGGAACACCAUGACCUGACCCACUUGGAC
Vicugna pacos (alpaca) is the source of this 2324-nucleotide non-coding RNA. Lineage: Eukaryota; Metazoa; Chordata; Mammalia; Artiodactyla; Camelidae. The record is from RefSeq and is a predicted model, not a curated record.